GGUGCUUUCCAUGCAAGUCGAACGGCAGCGCGGGGCAACCUGGCGGCGAGUGGCGAACGGGUGAGUAAUAUAUCGGAACGUACCCAAGAGUGGGGGAUAACGUAGCGAAAGUUACGCUAAUACCGCAUACGAUCCAAGGAUGAAAGUGGGGGCUCGCAAGACCUCAUGCUCCUGGAGCGGCCGAUAUCUGAUUAGCUAGUUGGUGAGGUAAAGGCUCACCAAGGCGACGAUCAGUAGCUGGUCUGAGAGGACGACCAGCCACACUGGGACUGAGACACGGCCCAGACUCCUACGGGAGGCAGCAGUGGGGAAUUUUGGACAAUGGGCGCAAGCCUGAUCCAGCAAUGCCGCGUGAGUGAAGAAGGCCUUCGGGUUGUAAAGCUCUUUUGUCAGGGAAGAAACGGCUGGGGUUAAUACCUCCGGCUAAUGACGGUACCUGAAGAAUAAGCACCGGCUAACUACGUGCCAGCAGCGCGGGG
RNAcentral lists this ribosomal RNA (479 nucleotides) under Massilia timonae. RNAcentral's name for it is "bacterial SSU rRNA". It matches the Rfam family "Bacterial small subunit ribosomal RNA", at positions 43 to 522 of the family's 1533-position model. Lineage: Bacteria; Pseudomonadati; Pseudomonadota; Betaproteobacteria; Burkholderiales; Oxalobacteraceae. The record is from RNAcentral.